AGGAAUUAAAAACACAGAAGUUCUGCAAAAUGAUUUUCAGUAAACAUAGAUAUCUUUCCUGUCACCUUAAAAGUCUUCCAAUGCUACCCAUGAGAAAAUAUAGCUAGAAGUGCAAAAACAUGACAUUUCAAAGACUUUGAAUGAAGCUUUUAUUACACAGUUUUACAGCUCUAACUUUCUUCCCUUUUAUUUCCAGAUUUUAGAAAUUAUAAUAUUCUGCAUUCUCCUUUAUUUUUACAAAAGAAAGGCUGUGAAGCACAUCGUGGUUUUGUUAAUGAUGGUGGCACUGCUGGCUUGUCUAUGAAACCCGGAUGGUAUGAUGGUACACCAUCUCCAUGCACAC
RNAcentral lists this long non-coding RNA (343 nucleotides) under Gallus gallus (chicken). Lineage: Eukaryota; Metazoa; Chordata; Aves; Galliformes; Phasianidae. The record is from RNAcentral.